AGGAGCCAUGUACCCAGCAAGAACCCAACAGGCUGCACAUCACAUCUCUGUCUCAUCCAAAAGAGGCUAAGUGACCAGACUGCUACCACGCAGACAGCAAGCAGCAAAGCUGGGAGCCAGCCAAGACUUCUCCAGCCUGAAGCCUGGGCUUUGUUUGCAGAGUGGCUCCAGCUCCCCACUACACCUCUCACAUGGCCAUGAGUGAGCUAGCACCGCAACCCAGGCACCAUUACGCACCUUCUGAGGUAUAAACUGUCUGCCUUCUGGACAGGCCUACUCAUUUACCGUGACUUCAACUGUUAGCUAACACUUGUCAUGUCUUUAAAAAGCAGCAUUUGGUUAGCGUAAAUACCAUUUAUGCCUCUUCCUUCAUCCUCUCAUUCCUUCUUGUAUGAUUGCCCUAUGGAAA
This 409-nucleotide long non-coding RNA is filed under the name Gallus gallus (chicken). RNAcentral's name for it is "long non-coding RNA NONGGAT004078". Lineage: Eukaryota; Metazoa; Chordata; Aves; Galliformes; Phasianidae. The record is from RNAcentral.